AGCGAACGCUGGCGGCAGGCUUAACACAUGCAAGUCGAGCGGGCACUUUCGGGUGUCAGCGGCGGACUGGUGAGUAACGCGUGGGAACGUGCCCUCUGGUUCGGAAUAACUCAGGGAAACUUGAGCUAAUACCGGAUACGCCCUUUUGGGGAAAGGCUUGCUGCCGGAGGAUCGGCCCGCGUCUGAUUAGCUAGUUGGUGAGGUAACGGCUCACCAAGGCGACGAUCAGUAGCUGGUCUGAGAGGAUGAUCAGCCACACUGGGACUGAGACACGGCCCAGACUCCUACGGGAGGCAGCAGUGGGGAAUAUUGGACAAUGGGCGCAAGCCUGAUCCAGCCAUGCCGCGUGAGUGAUGAAGGCCUUAGGGUUGUAAAGCUCUUUUAUCCGGGACGAUAAUGACGGUACCGGAGGAAUAAGCCCCGGCUAACUUCGUG
RNAcentral lists this ribosomal RNA (435 nucleotides) under uncultured bacterium. RNAcentral's name for it is "partial 16S ribosomal RNA". It matches the Rfam family "Bacterial small subunit ribosomal RNA", at positions 29 to 507 of the family's 1533-position model. The record is from RNAcentral.